GCCCGGUUAGCUCAAUCGGUAGAGGUUAGGUAGUUCAUCUUCAUACUGCCUUUUCUCGAACAAACGAUACUGACUGCCGAAAACAGCGUGAGACUCUUAAUCUCAAGAUUGCGGGUUCGACCCCCGCAUCGGGCU
Annulohypoxylon truncatum is the source of this 135-nucleotide non-coding RNA. NCBI's taxonomy places the organism in Eukaryota, Fungi, Ascomycota, Sordariomycetes, Xylariales, Hypoxylaceae. The record is from the annotation of a RefSeq genome assembly.